UACGGAGGGGGCUAGCGUUGUUCGGAAUUACUGGGCGUAAAGCGCACGUAGGCGGCUUUGUAAGUUAGAGGUGAAAGCCCGGGGCUCAACUCCGGAAUUGCCUUUAAGACUGCAUCGCUAGAAUUGUGGAGAGGUAAGUGGAAUUCCGAGUGUAGAGGUGAAAUUCGUAGAGAUCGGGAGGAACACCAGAGGCGAAAGCGGCGACCUGGACAGGCACUGACACUCAACUACGAAAGCGUGGGGAGCAAACAGG
This 253-nucleotide ribosomal RNA is filed under the name uncultured bacterium. Its description in RNAcentral is "partial 16S ribosomal RNA". It matches the Rfam family "Bacterial small subunit ribosomal RNA", at positions 524 to 776 of the family's 1533-position model. The record is from RNAcentral.